This 84-nucleotide transfer RNA is filed under the name Ecytonucleospora hepatopenaei. Its description in RNAcentral is "Enterocytozoon sp. ST-2009a tRNA". It matches the Rfam family "tRNA". From Rfam's summary of the family: Transfer RNA (tRNA) molecules are approximately 80 nucleotides in length. The record is from Rfam by way of RNAcentral. Lineage: Eukaryota; Fungi; Microsporidia; Enterocytozoonidae.
ACCAUGAUGGCCGAGUGGUCUAAGGCGGGGGACUUAAGAUCCUUUACUCAUCAGAGUGCGCGAGUUCGAAUCUCGCUUAUGGUA